UCCCCAUUUUCCCACUCCGCCCAUGGGGUGGUGUUCUGGGUGGGUGAGGUCCUUACCGCCAUGUGGCAAUCCUGCCUUCCUAAGGAUCCUUCCUUCUUAUAGAACAAGCAAGAGAGGAAGAUUGUCACUUAAGCAGCAAUCAGACUUUAGGAUGAGGCAGACUGGCCUUGGGGGCCAGCGUUUGCCAGAGCCGUCUGAUGACAGCAGCUCCUGGUACCUGACCAAGGACAGCUGAGUUCAGUCACAGGCAGAUUCGGAGCCCUUGGUGCCAGCAAGAUCAUUGCCUAAGCAACCUGGAGUGAGCCCUGGAAUCAUUCCAGACAACCCAGGGUACUCAACUGGAAGACCGCUGGCCUAACGGUUGCUGCAUCUUCUGUGGUGGCCGCUUGUGGGUCCUACAUAGAUGGUCCGACACCCUCGUUCCCAUUCACACCCUCUGUGUCAGACCUGAGGCCUCACCUGAGGACCCCCCACUUGCGGCCACAGCCUGGGAAAAUGUAUGCAGUCAGGGCCGCGGUGGCCUCGAGGAGCAGCAGAAGUGGGCAGACAGCUGUUCUGCAUUGAGCCUCCGCAGAAUCAGCCUGUCUGGACCAUCACCAACCUUACGCCGGAGUUGGCCCCGGCUUGAGUGUGAGACUGCAUGACACAAAGAUGUGCUUGAUCCAAAGAUCUCCCACACCAGCCUGUCAUGGUGCCUGGUGGCCAGGCCCACUAUUGGAGAGAGGUGGAGACCGAGAUGGAGAGAUGGAGAGAGACACGUGCACAGAGACGGGAGAGGCUGGGGCAGCCUCGGGGCUGGCAGAUAUCACUCCCUCCUUCAUUUCUUCAAGUACUCGCUACGUGACCCUGGCUUCCCCUGACCCCAGAGGGGCUCAGCCAUAGGCUGCCCGGAAAGAACCGGAAGAUUCGCUUUCUUGGGAUUCUGGAUGAAGAGAACAGGGAUGCUGAGUGGCUCUCCUCCAUCUGAUCCUGGGCAGGUUAAACACUGCCAAGACUGUCUUCCAGAAACCCCACUCCCCCUGAUGAGAGCCUCCUACAGCAGACCGUACCCCUGAAGGGGGACCAGAGUCCUGGGGAAGCAUGACCGUGACAAGGUUGAGGAAACCCACGGCACAGAGACAGCAAGCAACUUGUCUGAAUCACACAGCUGAGCGACGGUGGACCAGGCGUCCAACUAACGCGAACGGUGUGGGGCGGUUUCCGAGGGGGUAGGAGAUGAGGUAGCUGACCUUGCCAGGUGUCCUUCUGAUCUCAUUAAAUCCACAUGCCAUCCUGUCCCAACUCCCUCUCCAUCAGCCAGCAUCCUGUCCCCACUGUAGGGCCCAUCUGAGAGGCCCUCAGCUGGAGAUCUGAGUAUUACCUACAAAAUUGUGUAAGCAACCAUAUACAGUCUGGUGGAACUGGAAGAAACGCUCAUUAUACUGUCUUAGAGCUGCAGCCCAUUGACUACAUUAUGCUGAAUAUAGUGUCCUAUCCAUUGAUAAGCAGUUUUUAAAAUAAAUCCUGUAGGGACGCCUGGGUGACUCAGCCGGUUAAGCGCCCAACUCUUGAUUUCAGCU
Felis catus (domestic cat) is the source of this 1559-nucleotide long non-coding RNA. RefSeq lists it as uncharacterized. The transcript is spliced from 6 exons. The record is from RefSeq and is a predicted model, not a curated record. Lineage: Eukaryota; Metazoa; Chordata; Mammalia; Carnivora; Felidae.